RNAcentral lists this non-coding RNA (26 nucleotides) under Homo sapiens (human). Lineage: Eukaryota; Metazoa; Chordata; Mammalia; Primates; Hominidae. The record is from RNAcentral.
UGAAUGUUACAUCUUGGAACCUGAGC